Molecule: ribosomal RNA, 253 nt
Filed under: uncultured bacterium
Lineage: Bacteria
Description: partial 16S ribosomal RNA
Rfam family: Bacterial small subunit ribosomal RNA
Source: RNAcentral
UGCGAGGGGGGCAAGCGUUGUUCGGCUUUAUUGGGCGUAAAGGGUGCGUAGGCGGUUUGGCAAGUCUUAUGUGAAAUCUAUGGGCUCAACCCCUAGUCUGCAUGAGAAACUACCGGGCUUGAGUAUUGGAGAGGUGAGUGGAAUUUCCGGUGUAGCGGUGAAAUGCGUAGAUAUCGGAAGGAACACCUGUGGCGAAAGCGGCUCACUGGACAAUAACUGACGCUGAUGCACGAAAGCUAGGGGAGCAAACAGG